This 304-nucleotide long non-coding RNA is filed under the name Homo sapiens (human). Its description in RNAcentral is "HSALNT0212358". The record is from RNAcentral. Lineage: Eukaryota; Metazoa; Chordata; Mammalia; Primates; Hominidae.
AAACAGAUGAUCAGUGGCCCACGGAUUCCAGGUGAGGAUCUGGGACCCAGACAUCCAGAUAUUGAAAACACAGGGAUGGAGUCUGUAUGGAAAAAAUUAAAAUAUAGCAAAAUGUGAAAUACGGAAGAGAAAUCUUUCAAUUUCCCAAUGGAAGUGAGAAAAGAGCAAAGAAAAGUAUUGGUCUUCCAAAACAAAUAGAGGACGGAGCUGCUGCUGUUGCAUGGUGUCUAGAAACUCAGACAACUUCAUCAUUCCAUAUUUGCAUCCAAGAGAGAGAAAGAAAAACUACAAUCAUUUUCCAUUU